UACGGGGGGAGCGAGCGUUGUUCGGAAUCACUGGGCGUAAAGGGUGCGCAGGCGGGAGACUAAGUCGGGUGUGAAAACCUCGGGCUCAACCCGAGGCCUGCACUCGAAACUGAUCUUCUUGAGUAUCGGAGAGGAAAGUGGAACUCCAGGUGUAGCGGUGAAAUGCGUAGAUAUCUGGAGGAACACCUGUGGCGAAGGCGGCUUUCUGGCCGAAUACUGACGCUCAUGCACGAAGGCUAGGGGAGCAAACAGG
Molecule: ribosomal RNA, 253 nt
Filed under: uncultured bacterium
Lineage: Bacteria
Description: partial 16S ribosomal RNA
Rfam family: Bacterial small subunit ribosomal RNA
Source: RNAcentral